Molecule: ribosomal RNA, 492 nt
Filed under: uncultured bacterium
Lineage: Bacteria
Description: partial 16S ribosomal RNA
Rfam family: Bacterial small subunit ribosomal RNA
Source: RNAcentral
AGUGAACGCUGGCGGUAGGCCUAACACAUGCAAGUCGAACGGCAGCACAGUAAGGGCUUGCUCUUACGGGUGGCGAGUGGCGGACGGGUGAGGAAUACAUCGGAAUCUACUUUUUCGUGGGGGAUAACGUAGGGAAACUUACGCUAAUACCGCAUACGACCUACUGGUGAAAGCAGGGGAUCUUCGGACCUUGCGCGAUUGAAUGAGCCGAUGUCGGAUUAGCUAGUUGGCGGGGUAAAGGCCCACCAAGGCGACGAUCCGUAGCUGGUCUGAGAGGAUGAUCAGACACACUGGAAGUGAGACACGGUACAGACUCCUACGGGAGGCAGCAGUGGGGAAUAUUGGACAAUGGGCGCAAGCCUGAUCCAGCCAUACCGCGUGGGUGAAGAAGGCCUUCGGGUUGUAAAGCCCUUUUGUUGGGAAAGAAAAGCAGCAGGUUAAUACCCCGCUGUUCUGACGGUACCCAAAGAAUAAGCACCGGCUAACUUCGUG